UGGGGAAUUUUGGACAAUGGGCGAAAGCCUGNUCCAGCAAUGCCGCGUGUGUGAAGAAGGCCUUCGGGUUGUAAAGCACUUUUGUCCGGAAAGAAAUCCUUGGCUCUAAUACAGUCGGGGGAUGACGGUACCGGAAGAAUAAGCACCGGCUAACUACGUGCCAGCAGCCGCGGUAAUACGUAGGGUGCAAGCGUUAAUCGGAAUUACUGGGCGUAAAGCGUGCGCAGGCGGUUUGCUAAGACCGAUGUGAAAUCCCCGGGCUCAACCUGGGAACUGCAUUGGUGACUGGCAGGCUAGAGUAUGGCAGAGGGGGGUAGAAUUCCACGUGUAGCAGUGAAAUGCGUAGAGAUGUGGAGGAAUACCGAUGGCGAAGGCAGCCCCCUGGGCCAAUACUGACGCUCAUGCACGAAAGCGUGGGGAGCAAACAGGAUUAGAUACCCUGGUAGUCCACGCCCUAAAACGAUGUCAACUAGUUGUUGGGGAAUUCAUUUCCUUAGUAACGUAGCUAACGCGUGAAGUUGACCGCCUGGGGAGUACGUCGCAAGAUUAAAACUCAAAUGAAUUG
Molecule: ribosomal RNA, 565 nt
Filed under: uncultured bacterium
Lineage: Bacteria
Description: partial 16S ribosomal RNA
Rfam family: Bacterial small subunit ribosomal RNA
Source: RNAcentral